UAUCCUAUCUUAUUUUCACAUCCCUGCUCUCUGAGAGCUUUUAGUUCAGAGAUAAAGUUAAUCAACAAUGUGAACAAAGCAUUUAAUUCAGAAGACAUUCUUUGAAAGCCUAACAUUCUCAGAGUAUGCUUGUCUAAGCAUAGGGAUAUAGAGGUGAAUAAUAUGUGGCCAUGACCUCAAGGACUGCAGAAUGUAGUGACUUUUCUGAAGACGACUGCAAAGAAGAUGGUGUUUGGGGCAUGAACCUCCUGAGUCACUGUUUUCCAAUGAGAUUGGAACACAUUGGUUCAUCCAACUAUCUUCAUGGUGAUAUCAUCCUCCGCUUCCUCAUUCACUUUGACCAUGGGGGACAACCACAAGCUCAUCCUCAGAGGUAAACUGAAGUCAAUAAUUCACACUUGGCUGAUGAAUCUUCAAGGUAUUAAUCUUCUCCUGGUAUUUUCGGUAUUUCUUCUCCAUCCACUUGGCAAUUCAAUCCGCUCCCUGGGGAGCCGUAUCAUCCAGCACCUUGGUGACCUCACAGCGCCCCUCCCAGGCAUCCAUGAAAGUGUCUGUGAAAGGUAAAUGGCUUCGGAUAUGUCCUCCCCAGAUGGCUGUCUCAGUUGCCAGAGGCCAGACAUUGGCAAGAAUCAAGGCUGGCUAAUCACUCACUGUCCAGGUUAAGGAUUACUAUUCCCAAGUGGAUCCUCCCAGACCCAAGACAAGGAAACUAAGACUCAGGAGCAAGACUCUCAAAUCCAAGGCCAGAACCCAAGCAUCCUGACCCCUAAUUAUCACAAGCACCGACUGGGCCAAGUUCCGAGGUAUCUCGAUCCCAAAGAAACAGGAGCUUGUGUUAAUAGAGAUACUCAGAGUUCCUCUUCAGAUUCCAC
Molecule: long non-coding RNA, 872 nt
Filed under: Equus caballus (horse)
Lineage: Eukaryota; Metazoa; Chordata; Mammalia; Perissodactyla; Equidae
Description: lncRNA (ENSECAG00000041833.2)
Source: RNAcentral